This 113-nucleotide ribosomal RNA is filed under the name Prolemur simus (greater bamboo lemur). Lineage: Eukaryota; Metazoa; Chordata; Mammalia; Primates; Lemuridae. The record is from RNAcentral.
GUCUACGGCUAUACCACCCUGAACGCGCCUGAUGUCAUCUGAUCUCGGAAGCUAAGCAGGGUCGGGGCUGGUUAGGACAUGGAUGGGAGAAUACAGCAAAGAUGCCUUUGGAA